This 225-nucleotide ribosomal RNA is filed under the name uncultured fungus. Its description in RNAcentral is "partial small subunit ribosomal RNA". The stretch from base 97 to 225 matches the Rfam family "Eukaryotic small subunit ribosomal RNA", at positions 734 to 864 of the family's 1831-position model. Lineage: Eukaryota; Fungi. The record is from RNAcentral.
GACGGACCGGCGUGGCCCGCUUCCGUUCCGGGAGUGUGCGCCAUGUUGUGUUCGUCAUCCUUGCAGAACAAAGUGUCUACCAUUUAUUUGGCCGGAUACUGUGAUCUGCAUCGAUUACUUUGAAAAAAUUAGAGUGUUUAAAGCAGGCUUAUGCUCUGAAUACAUUAGCAUGGAAUAAUAAUUUAGGACUCCGGUUCUAUUUUGUUGGUUUCUAGAACUGAAGUA